This 433-nucleotide ribosomal RNA is filed under the name Bacillus sp. C12. RNAcentral describes it as "bacterial SSU rRNA". It matches the Rfam family "Bacterial small subunit ribosomal RNA", at positions 958 to 1392 of the family's 1533-position model. RNAcentral also lists the same sequence under 4 other names. The record is from RNAcentral. Lineage: Bacteria; Bacillati; Bacillota; Bacilli; Caryophanales; Bacillaceae.
AACGCGAAGAACCUUACCAGGUCUUGACAUCCUCUGACAAUCCUAGAGAUAGGACGUCCCCUUCGGGGGCAGAGUGACAGGUGGUGCAUGGUUGUCGUCAGCUCGUGUCGUGAGAUGUUGGGUUAAGUCCCGCAACGAGCGCAACCCUUGAUCUUAGUUGCCAGCAUUCAGUUGGGCACUCUAAGGUGACUGCCGGUGACAAACCGGAGGAAGGUGGGGAUGACGUCAAAUCAUCAUGCCCCUUAUGACCUGGGCUACACACGUGCUACAAUGGACAGAACAAAGGGCAGCGAAACCGCGAGGUUAAGCCAAUCCCACAAAUCUGUUCUCAGUUCGGAUCGCAGUCUGCAACUCGACUGCGUGAAGCUGGAAUCGCUAGUAAUCGCGGAUCAGCAUGCCGCGGUGAAUACGUUCCCGGGCCUUGUACACACCG